Molecule: long non-coding RNA, 575 nt
Organism: Felis catus (domestic cat)
Lineage: Eukaryota; Metazoa; Chordata; Mammalia; Carnivora; Felidae
Exons: 3
Source: RefSeq, a predicted model, not a curated record
AAUCUAAAGCUGAAUUAAAGUUGGAAGGAGGAGGGGUUCUCUCAGUGUGUUUCUUCCCUUGUUUAUUGAUUGGCUUUAAAAAAAAUUCAGGAGAGCGGUGCCUGGGUGGCUCAGUCGGUUGGGUGUCUGACUUCGGCUCAGGAGAAGGCAUUUUCCAUGAAAAAUCAACACACCAUGUCCUGGGAGAGCUGGGAUCCUACCUGGCACCUUGUGGGAAACACUUCAGGCCUGGAUGAAAGAAGAAGGAAGACGGGGCCAAAAUGAAGUCAGGAGGAACAGAGAUGCUGCAAGCCAGAGGACACAUCACUCUAAAAGGCUUUAUAGAGAAGGCUGAGUACGGAUGGAAAAUUUAUGCCUGGAAGGAUGUUACCAUACAGAAAAGAUUUGGGGGUACGUAAGAAUUGGUAGAAAUUCUUUCUCAGCUGGAAAUUCUGGCCCAAGGUUUCCAAAGCAAGCAUAAUUUUGUAGACUUCAGCUUUUAUGAAUUACCGUGAGGGCUGAUACUGCCUUAUGUCAAAUUUCUUAAGUAGAGGAAUGUCUCUUAAUUAAUCAUUAAAAAAAAAUAAAAGAAUAAA